CAAGUACAAGAGUAACUGCUUGUACCUUGACGGUACCUAACCAGAAAGCCACGGCUAACUACGUGCCAGCAGCCGCGGUAAUACGUAGGUGGCAAGCGUUGUCCGGAAUUAUUGGGCGUAAAGCGCGCGCAGGCGGUCCUUUAAGUCUGAUGUGAAAGCCCACGGCUCAACCGUGGAGGGUCAUUGGAAACUGGGGGACAAGAAAUUACAUGGAGUUUUCCCCGGCCCCGGGGGGGAGAGAUUGUUGUUUCGGGAAUUGUGUGAGAGAGUCUGUGCUCCUUCAGACCAACCAAAGAGGAAGAGCCCUACCCUGCCUCCCCGCGGGGGU
RNAcentral lists this ribosomal RNA (328 nucleotides) under uncultured Bacillus sp. RNAcentral's name for it is "bacterial SSU rRNA". It matches the Rfam family "Bacterial small subunit ribosomal RNA", at positions 444 to 705 of the family's 1533-position model. Lineage: Bacteria; Bacillati; Bacillota; Bacilli; Caryophanales; Bacillaceae. The record is from RNAcentral.